AUCUUAAAAGAAUAUAAAACAUGUCGUGUAAUUAAAUGGGGUUAUGUGUUACUCAUCAGAAUGCCCUGCAAAUCAGGAAAUAACGUGCGAGAGCCUGCGCUCGUCCCAUGGAUACAUAUACACUGUGCCGCCGGAGAUCCCGUGCUCUGAAAAGUGCGAACAAGGAUGGUACUAUCAGAAUGGGACGUUUAUUGUCGACUCAACUCCGAAUGCCGGUGGAAGGAGGUUACCGGUUGUAGUGGAUGUAACGCCUCAGAAUCUGACAAUCCGUGUCUGCGAGAAUCUGCAGUGGCAACUUGACUGUGGCAAGUGUAGCUGUGUUAUCAAUUAUACAGUUACAGAUUUGAAACAUUCAGCAGCACGUGACCCCCUGCCAAGAAAUAAUACAACAUGGGAUGAACAAGAUGGCAGCCAUGAUGGCAACAGUAAGCAUUUACCUGCCUGGGUGAUUGCUUUAAUCAUAAUCGUGGUUGUUGGAGUAUGUACCGCCAUUUUGGUCAUUGGAAAAAGGGCAAAAUGCUUCUGUAAACAAAAAGAUGUACUUUAGUGGCAAUGAUUUGUGCCUUCGAGCAAAUCACCUCAGGUUCCUCCAGAGGGACUGUGCCUGGAAUACAUGUUAUAUAAGCCACUUUGGCAAAAACUUUAAAUGACCAAAAUAAUCACUAUCGUACUUUCUUUAUUUCCACUUUUUUUUCUUGUAUGAUUUUCACAAACGUUGUUUUAGUAGUUUUUAGCAUCUAACUUUUAUGGAUUGUAGAGCUUUGUGUGUGCUUUUUAAUCCAAUGUAACCUUAAAUCUGUCUUGUGCUACAUGACAUACAGAGCUAUAGAGGACACUGACACUGAAAUUAAGAAAAAUUGCAUUAUCUAAAACAAAUUUUAAUAAUGAUGAAUUAGAUCAUUUUAUUUAGCGUUGUAUUAUAUAUAUAUAUAUAUAUAUAUCAUAUACAUAAAUCAUAAAUAAAUAUAAAAAAAUUAAUAUAUCUAUAUACUGACAUGCACAGUUUUUCCUUAA
This 1014-nucleotide long non-coding RNA is filed under the name Sinocyclocheilus anshuiensis. Its description in RNAcentral is "lncRNA (ENSSANG00000048562.1)". Lineage: Eukaryota; Metazoa; Chordata; Actinopteri; Cypriniformes; Cyprinidae. The record is from RNAcentral.